UUUUUUUUUUUUACCUUUAAACACUAUCAAUUUUAUCCUCCCACCUCCCAUCCACUGGUAACCAGCAUUUUACUUUUUUUUAUGAGUUUGAUUUAGUUGUAUUCCACAUAUAAGUGACAUCAUAUAGUACUUGUCUAGGGGAAAAUAAUUUGGCAGUUUUUUCCCUUGCUAUUCUUUCUCUAAUACCAAAAAAGGAUACUAUAAAUACUUUAGUACUGAAGCUUCAGAGGAAGUUUACUUAAGACUUUUGAAAAUGCUGUUUAUAUGUUUUAUUGUCUAAGACAACUGAAAGUAUCUAAAAGCUCUCUUGUAAAAAAAAAUAAAUAAAAGCUCUCUUAUGUUGAAUAAAGAAGGGAUAGUUUGGGGUCACUUCAAUGCUUAUCUGUAUAUCUAUAUAAUAAUAUUUUUUAAAAAUUUUAAAAACUCAGAUACAGAAGUGGGAAAGAGAAGUCUACUAUUCAAAAUAAAGACAAUUCACCCAAUUACAGAGGUUAAAUCAGAAGCCUCUUAAAAACACAAAAGCAAAAACAAAGAAACUUGUUCUCAGAUUAAAAAGAACUUGUAAUAUAAAAUUCAUUUUACCAUCAUUCUUUUCAAAUUCUGCUUGAAUUUUAUUGAAUAAAACUUCUAGUUUCUUUUGUUGGAUUUCUGCAUAUUUUGUUGCUUCCUUUUCUUCCUCUCUUUCAUUGCGAAAUAUGCAUAAUCCAGAUGGGGUCCUCUCCAUCCACUGUAAUGAUGUGUCAAACAAAGAUACAUGGUAGAGAGGGAUCAUUCAAAUUAAUUGUCCCAAAAGGAAGAAAUACACAGUAAGCUUCAAGAGUAUAUCAUACCUGUAUUGGGUAUGCUCUUUGAACAACUACAUCAACACAACCAACAUUUCCUCCAUCACUGAAAAGUGAUGACAAGGGGAGAGGGAAAGGUCUAGGAUCAGGAGAGAAUCCAAGUUUGGUAUACCAGCAAGCAGGACGAGUACUGUUAGCAGAAAUCUGGACAAAUAAUGAACAAGUCAACUUGUAAGUUUAUAUUCAAUUUUACUUCAGAUGUCAUAACAUUUUCAUUCAUUCAAAAGCCUCAUGAAAAUAAAAAAGUAGAAAAACUGUACAAAAGUGAAAACACUUUCAAAAUAUAGUCUCAAAAAAUUGUUUAUGCUGUUAUAGUCUUAAUGUAAAUAUUACUAAUAGAAAAUUAAUAAAAGAGACUUCAAUUUAAACAUGAUGGAUGAAAAUGUACUUAUUUACUUAGGUUUCUUCAAAAGACCUACAGGGACAAAAAGGACUGAAGAGAGGAGGGUAGUGGAUGAAGCAUUAACACAAUUUUGGAAGCUGAAAAUUUAUUGGACAACUGGUAAAUAACAAAGAAGCCUGAGAAUGAUUACAGUUAAUAAAAGUAACAGACAUUCCUAAAGCACUUAUUCUGGUGCCUGGAUAGUGUUAAGUGCUUUAUAUCUAUUAACAUUUAAUCUUUACAACAAUCCCAAGGCAUAUCCCCAUUUUAUAAAUGAUAAAAGUCCAAUAUAACCUGCAUAAUAUGACUCAACUGGCAAAUUUGUAUGGAGCCAAUAGGAAACAAAAUAAUUUAAGGAAAUCACUCAGAAUUUGGAAACAACAGGUAUCUCUGAAGGAGCAUGAGGUGCAGCUAAUACUAGAAGGAAAGACAAUUAAGACCUCAGAUUUCAUUUCCCAUCCCGAGUAGUCAGGUGACCAUCCUUCUCUCACAUGAAGAACCUGGACAAUUUACUUUCUGGAGAUGCUUAAACACACAUAUCCUGCACCCCGAGCAACUGGAGUGAGGGUGAGAUGCUAUACUGAAAACAAAAAUGCAAUGAAAAUCUUUAUGCUAGACAUGAGUCUCCCAAUUAGUUUUCUUACUCUGUUCAGCUCUCAGUCACUGGUAUUUGAAGGUUUCCUAACAAAAUCAAGUCCCUGUCUUACCACUCUAAAGUUGACAAAGCCUACCUAUCACAGAGCUUCUGAUUAGCUCAUUAGUACCCCACUCUUGAAGAAGAAAGAACAGCUAACAAUUACCAGUUGAAGGAAGUCUCUAACCUGAGAGACCCAAACAAACAAAAAGGAGAUUAUAGGAAAAAAAAAAAAGCAGCAAGCAGAAAAAACUAAAAUAAAAUAUUAAUUGAUAGCUUCAGAAAGAUGAGAAGAUGUUGCAGCUAUGAAACAAGAACAGGAUGUAAUUAAAAAAGAAACAUUUAGGGAGUAUUAAAGGCCUCAGAGAAUGAAAGAUUAUACCAAUAGGCACAAGUUCACUUUAGGGAUUAGAAAAUUAGAACUAGAAAGUAGGGGAGAAAAGACAACAAAAUAGAAAAUAGGAGAAAAGAUGAGAAAAUCGGAAGACCAAUCAAAGAGGCCUACUGCCCAAAUAUCAAGAGUUCAAGAAAAUUGAAAAGGAAAAAAGUGGAGGGGGGCAAAAUUAUCAAAGAACUAUUUAAAGAAAAUUUCCUAGAACCCAAUGAAAGACAUAUGUUUAUAGACUGAUUACCACUGUGCACCCAAGACAGUGAUUUUAAAAGGCCAACCCCAAAGUACUGUACUGUAAAAUUUCAGAAUACUGCAGACAAACGAUCUCCAAAACUUUUUAAAAACAGAUUAUAGUGAAGGACUGGGAAUAAGCAGCACUGAAUUUAGCAGAAACUAUACGAGAAGCAAAAAGAUAAGAGACAAAAUGUCUUUAAAAUUCUGAAGAAAUUAUUUCCAUCUUACAUUCUAUAUUCAGCCAUCUUAGAAUAAGAUAAAAGAAAAAGCUACAAGCUCCCUCUCUCAAAAAGCCUCUAGAGGUUGCUUGUAUGUGCUUAGAGCUAGGGAAUAAAUCCAUAUAGAUACGAACUCCAGAAAAUAGGGCUUCCAACACAGAAAGAGGUAAAAAUGAUUUCUAGAAACGUAACUGUGCAGCAUACAUAGAAAGUAACCACUUCAGAAUGUGGCAGGAGUAGGGAGAGGUCCAAGUGAUCUCCAAGAAAAACAAAUGAAAUCAGUAAAGGUAUUUUAACAUAUUGAGAUGAUUUUUAUAUAUCUCUUGUGUAGGAAUGAGUUGGUGAUAAGGAUAUAGAAAAUUAAAAAAGAAAAAAACGACAAAAUAAAGCAAGACAGUUGUUAACUCCUGGGAAAACAGUAAAUUGUAAAGAAAAUGUAAUUAGCAGAUUAUAUGCCGAGUUGUGAAAAAUGUUUUUCAAUCAUUAUAAUGUGAACAGUGAAUACAGACUUCACUCCUCAACUUUCAUAGCAGGAAGCUAACAGUUAACAUCUAAAACUGAAGGAGAAAAGAUGACAUAGUGAUAUAAGCAAAAGAAACUGCCAAAGAGAUUAGAAGUGGUUGCCUUUGGGGAGCAUGAAGAGAGAGGUUAAGCAGGAUGGCUACAGUGACUGCUUUUGGAGGGAGGGGCAGAGGCAGGUGUCAUAAGCCUAUGAGUUUUGAAAUUAUGCACAUGUACUGAUUUGAUAAAAACAAAACAAAAAAUUGAAAGAUACUGCAACUUUGAUAUUCUAAGCAACAUAAAAGCCUGUUUCGGCUUGACUAAAAGCAACACAAUAUAGAGUUAACGACAAAGCAUGUCCGCUUUAAAAAUAUUUUUUAAAUGCCUUCCUGAAGUAGAGUGAUCCAGAAUAUGACAGAAGUAUAUUGUUUCACCUCAUAGGUGAUUCUGACUGUGCAAUAUUACUAUUUUCUCAUAGAAAUAUUAUAGACUAUUCAAUAUGACAAAGUCCUACUGUAUAUAGGUUUAAAUCCACAUAGAAAGGUACAUUUUAUUAUUAUGUAUUUAAAAAUCACUUAAACCUAAUUUUCCAAUUACACUGGAAUAGAGAUCUAAUCGAGUAAUCAGAGUGGAAGCAGAGCAAUACUAUGGAACAAGAUGGCACCAAAAGCUAUAGGUACCCAAAUCAAAGCCAGUGCAAAUUUGCUCCUGGAUUAUUUUAGCUCAAUAAAUAUCUCUGGGUUUCCCAGAAAUGGCACAAAAAAAUUUAACAGUCUAAAAAAUUUGCCACAUAGACUAACAGUAUGUUUUUAAGCAAUGGAGCAUCUUUGAUAGGCGUAAGUUUAAAAUUUAAAAUCUAAAACCUCCCUAGAAUUUAAUUUUAUCAGUGAUUGAUUUUUACCAAGUGUGCAUUAAUUUAAUUUACCUUUAACAUAAGAGAUUCUGGGGCUUCAAGUGGUGUGCAGGCAUCAGGAGAGCCUACCAGUUCUGCUCCAUGAAUAGUGAUCUUCUGACCCACAGUCAAUCUCCCGUUCUUUACGAGAGCUAAGAGGGGAGGGUCUAACUGGGCCUUAAUAGCAUACCACCCAUCUGUGAGCUCAAUAAUGCCCACUUUUUUGGUACCCACACUACUAGUUUUACUACUAGAAGUUUCAGAUAUAUCUGCACUUGACGAAAUGAUUUCAGAAAUACAGAGAACAAGUGUUUUUGCAGCUGUGUCAUCCCUUUCCAUUAUCUUCUUUAUAGCUGAUCUUCUGCUUUUAUCAAUUUCCACAUCAUAUCUAAAAAGAAAAAGAAAAACGCAAAUUUUAGGCAUUGGGAGUCUAGAAUUUCAUUGUAAAAAGGUCACCGAAUAAUGGAGAAUAAAAAUUAAAUACUUCUAGUGAAGAACAACUGAGACUAGAGAAUUUAAAAUUUGGUAGCUAGCAAUAUAGUAAGUUUUAUACUGUUAAAAUAUGAAUUAAAUAUUAAAACUCCCCAGAUACAAAAAUAGUUUAUUAGCAAUCCCUGAAAAAUGGAUCAAAUUAGUAAACCAUAUUCUUCUCACAUGCUGAGAGGUUAAGGGAGGGUGAGGUAAGAGGUGUAGGAAUGUGUGAAUUCUCUUAAAGAGGCUGGAGGAUGACAAAAGAACUACUGUGUACCAGUCAGGGAUGUGAGGACAGUGAGGGAUGGCGACUGUCACUGACAACUGGCUCGUGUACCUACCUUCUAUGAUGUAGAAGCCACAGACAGCACAAAAGUCUAAACCUUAUUACAGUAUGUGAUUAUAUAAUGUAAUACAUAAAACUUGCCUGUAUUUUAGUUGAAGAAGCACUCUUUCUGGACUUAGACACCUAUUAGCAAAUUCCUUAGGAAAGGCAAAUUCCAUGGCUGCCAAUUUCCAUAUAAUCCAUCUAUAGUGAUUAUAUACCCAAACUCUAGAAAUACAAUUUGGAUCCACACCUGGGGUGUCACACAGAGCCCUGAACAAAUAAAGGUAGAACAAUAUAAAAAAACCACAUAAGAUGAUACUGAAUUCAAUAACCAUGACUAUUCUUUGCACAAACACUACACUGUACAAGACCAUUCAGUAAGUUUUUAUGAGUUAGCAUAUAAGUAAUAUAAUUUAGAAAAUGAUUUGAUACGCAUCAAAAUAUACUAACAAAAUUAACAUAUAAGUCAAAACACUGACUUCACCUGGAAAAGGAGAUCUUUAAUUUGAAAUAAUCAUGUAUUAUUUUUCUUUUUCUUUUUUAAAGAUUUUAUUUAUUUAUUCAUAAGAGACAUAGGGAGAGAAAGAGGCAGAGACACAGGCAGAGGGAGAAGCAGGCUCCAUGCAGGGAGCCUGAUGUGGAACUCGAUCCCAGGUCUCCAGGAUCAGGCCCUGGGCUAAAGGCGGCGCUAAACCGCUGAUCCACCCCAGCUGCCCUAUUUUUCUUUUUAAAAAUUAAAAAAAAAAAAAAAAAAA
RNAcentral lists this long non-coding RNA (5648 nucleotides) under Canis lupus familiaris (dog). Its description in RNAcentral is "lncRNA (ENSCAFG00845015665.1)". The record is from RNAcentral. Lineage: Eukaryota; Metazoa; Chordata; Mammalia; Carnivora; Canidae.